This 263-nucleotide ribosomal RNA is filed under the name uncultured Streptococcus sp. RNAcentral describes it as "partial 16S ribosomal RNA". It matches the Rfam family "Bacterial small subunit ribosomal RNA", at positions 1117 to 1374 of the family's 1533-position model. Lineage: Bacteria; Bacillati; Bacillota; Bacilli; Lactobacillales; Streptococcaceae. The record is from RNAcentral.
GCCAUCAUUGAGUUGGGCACUUUAAAGAGACUGCCGGUAAUAAACCGGAGGAAGGUGGGAUGACGUCAAAUCAUCAUGCCCCUUAUGACCUGGGCUACACACGUGCUACAAUGGUUGGUACAACGAGUUGCGAGUCGGUGACGGCGAGCUAAUACUCUUAAAGCCAAUCUCAGUUCGGAUUGUAGGCUGCAACUCGCCUACAUGAAGUCGGAAUCGCUAGUAAUCGCGGAUCAGCACGCCCGCGGUCGAUACGUUCCGGCCUU